This is a long non-coding RNA of Mesocricetus auratus (golden hamster), 1011 nucleotides long. RefSeq lists it as uncharacterized. The record is from RefSeq and is a predicted model, not a curated record. The transcript has 4 exons. Lineage: Eukaryota; Metazoa; Chordata; Mammalia; Rodentia; Cricetidae.
CUCUCUUCCCUUCCCUUACUCCCUUCCCUCCCUUCAUUUUUCUCAAUAAACUUCCUUCCUAGGCAUGUUUGUCCCUUGCCUGCCAAAGAGCCCCCUCGAGUAACACUUGCUCUUACAAAGAAUAAUAAUAUGAUUCAAUGAGGCUCCCUUACAGUUCAGACCUUGUAGCAGUCAGUCUGAGGAUUCCUAGAGACAGGAUCGCCCAUUUGGUUUGAGGAUUCAGUAGAGCUUUAACCACAGAGAGAUGAGCAGGAGGAAAGAAGAGGGCAUUGGAUCCUCCUGAAACCGGAGCGAUGUUAGAAACUGAGCCCAGGUCCUCUGCAGCUGCGGUAUGAUAGCUAAUCUGGUUGUCAACUUGACUACAUUUGGAAUCAACUAAAACCCAAGAAGCUGACCACAUCUGUGAUCAUGAUUAGAUUAUUUGAGAAUCCAUAUAUAAUUGGAAAAGCCCAUCACUAUCUUAAAAAAAGAAAGGAAUGGACAUUCAACACACAAUUUGACAUGACAGUUCCCCUUGAGAUGAACUUUCUUCUCACUAGAAAGAGAGAGAGAAAAAAAAGAAAGAAAGGAAGGAAGAAAGGAAGGAAGGAAGAAAGAAAGGAAGGAUGGAAGAAAGAAAGGAAGGACGGAAGGAAGAAAGAAAGAAAGGAAGGAAGGACGGAAGGAAGAAAGAAAGAAAGAAAGAAAAGAAGGACGGAAAGAAGAAAGAAAGUCACUCACACACAUUGGGAUUAUCUUUACUUCUACCAUUUGUGCAUGGUGAGCUGUCUGAAGCCCAACUCUCACCCUAAAUGGCAUACCACAGUCAUUGAGAAAUGCACUAUGGGUAGAAUGCCACUAAGGACCCUAAAUGGUUACUGAAUGAUUCACACAGAAGAAAUCUGUAUGAUACUGCAAAAACUUUGAGAGCUAAGCUGCCAAGGAAUCAAAUAGGAUGUUGAAAUCUGAAUCUAAUGAGGUUGAUUAUUUGCUAAAUUAAAAUAAAUUAAUAAAACUUAAUAAUUAAUAAGA